This 252-nucleotide ribosomal RNA is filed under the name uncultured bacterium. Its description in RNAcentral is "partial 16S ribosomal RNA". It matches the Rfam family "Bacterial small subunit ribosomal RNA", at positions 524 to 776 of the family's 1533-position model. The record is from RNAcentral.
UACGAAGGGGGCUAGCGUUGCUCGGAAUCACUGGGCGUAAAGGGUGCGUAGGCGGGUCUUUAAGUCAGGGGUGAAAUCCUGGAGCUCAACUCCAGAACUGCCUUUGAUACUGAGGAUCUUGAGUUCGGGAGAGGUGAGUGGAACUGCGAGUGUAGAGGUGAAAUUCGUAGAUAUUCGCAAGAACACCAGUGGCGAAGGCGGCUCACUGGCCCGAUACUGACGCUGAGGCACGAAGGCCAGGGAGCAAACGGG